This 73-nucleotide transfer RNA is filed under the name Patiria miniata (bat star). RNAcentral describes it as "tRNA-Asn". It matches the Rfam family "tRNA". Rfam says of the family: Transfer RNA (tRNA) molecules are approximately 80 nucleotides in length. Lineage: Eukaryota; Metazoa; Echinodermata; Asteroidea; Valvatida; Asterinidae. The record is from Rfam by way of RNAcentral.
GGCUGGGUAGCUCAGUUGGUAGAGCACAGGUAAGUUAAUCCAGAGGUCGCAGGUUCAAACCCUGCUCCAGUCA